UGCAGGCACCGGUUAGAUAAGGUGCCUCAGGUGCAGAAGGGACAGGCUUGGCAGGUACACUGGACUUUACCGCCUGGGUGACUGGGCGAGGGCGGCUUGGGUGGACGUGUGUGCCUGAUCCUGAAUCAAAAGGGCAGGAGGUGCCCCAGGCUUCUGCAGGGAAAUGGUGUCCAUUUCCCAGCAUGGGUGGGACUUAGGCUACCAUAGAAGUACCUGUCAGCAGGAUCAGCCUCAGCGGGAACCUGCAAGUUUCACCAUCCACCUUGUUACUGAAUUUUAGCAUCAAGUGGAUGUAGACACCUGGGCUGCCUGAGCCAUGAUUUGGAACAGCUGGGAUUCCGUACCAGGAUUUGAUCAACUGAGUCUCAAGGUAGCUUGGCGACAGUGAGCACUUCUGCUCUCAUGGAUCCAUCAUUCUGAACUUGAAACCUAUACUCCAUGAUGGCAGGACAAAGGCACGCUGGCAGAAACAGAGAGUUGGAGUCCACAGCGGCAGAGUGAAGACACAGCAGCAGAGGUUGAGAGUUCACAUCUCAAACAGUAGGCAGGAGGCGGAGAGCACAGUGGGAACAGGCAAACGUCUUCUGAAACCUCAAAGCUGCCCGCAGUGACAGGCCUGCUUCAACAAGGCCACAUGUUCUGAUCUUUCCCAAAGGAUCCCACCAACUGAGGACUAAGAAUUAAAACAUAGGAACUUAUUGAAGCCAUUCUCAUUCAAGCCACAACAGAACCCCAGCACAGCUACCAAGCACACUUGGCAAAAGAUGGUUUCCGUCUUUCCUCCCUGACACAGGUGACGAUUCAGCUCAUUGGUGGGAGCUUGACUUCACAAAGAAGAAUGGAAGAUCCAGGACAUCUGAGCUAUUUCCAGGUUACCUUUGAUGAAACAACAACAACAACAACAACAACAACAACCACUAUAACUUUGAUAGAAAAAGACUUUCUCUAAAAUUUCCCUCUUCUUUAUAGUUUUUUUUUUUCAAACUUAGCCAGCAUAUGUUGAUCAUUUUAAGUCUCUAAAAAGGGUAAAUUGUUUUCCAGGGUGUACAUUUGUACACCAGUGUGUGCUUAGUGAUGGUGGAAGCCAGAAGAAGGUGUCAGGUUCCCUGCACCCAGAGUUGCACACGGUUGUGAGCAGCCAUGUGGAUACUGGGAAUUGAACCCUGGGGCCUCUAGAAAAGUGGUCAGUGCUCUUAACCUCUGAGUCACCUUUCCAGCCCAAAUAAACUGUUAUGGUAA
This is a long non-coding RNA of Mus musculus (house mouse), 1239 nucleotides long. RefSeq annotates it as predicted gene, 26717. The transcript is spliced from 4 exons. The record is from RefSeq and is a predicted model, not a curated record. Lineage: Eukaryota; Metazoa; Chordata; Mammalia; Rodentia; Muridae.